ACAUAGCUUUCAGCGAAAAGUCUUUGGCUUGAAGGAUUGGAGGUGAGGCCUGCCCAAUGGUUGUAUCUAAAUUUAAAUGAUAAAAUAAGUUAUUUAAUUAAAGACAAUUAAAUGGCCGCGGUAACUCUGACCGUGAUAAUGUAGCGCAAUAAAUAGCCAAUUAAUUGUUGGCAAGUAUGAAUGGCGUAACGAAUGCCCCACUGUCUCAAGAUAAAAACCAGUGAAAUUGAAGUUGUAGUGAAGAUGCUACAGACAAGUUGUAAGACGAGAAGACCCCGUUGAGCUUUACUGGAGGCUUAAAUUGUUUUUAAAAUUAAGGUGUAGAUUAUGUGGGAACUUAUGAAAAUUCCACUCCUUAGAUAUAAGAAACCAACCAAUAGUUUAUUGGGGAAGUUUAAGUUGGACAGUUUGGUUGGGGCGACCGCCUUCUAAAGAGUAACGAAGGUGAACAAAAGGUAAAUAAUGAAAUAGCAUAAAGAAAAAGCCUGACAGUGAGGAGGACCUCCAAGCUGACACAGGAUGAAUUAGGAAAAAUUCAAUAAUAUUAAUUAAAAUUAAUACUGUGGGUUAUAGUGACCCGUUAGUUAAGAGUGGGUUUGCUAACGAGCAACGAAUAAAAGUUACCACGGGGAUAACAGCGUAAUCUCGUUUGAGAGUUCAUAUCGAUGACGAUGUU
This 676-nucleotide ribosomal RNA is filed under the name Neopodospongia sp. n. GLH-2013. Its description in RNAcentral is "partial 16S ribosomal RNA". It matches the Rfam family "Bacterial large subunit ribosomal RNA", at positions 1813 to 2518 of the family's 2925-position model. Lineage: Eukaryota; Metazoa; Porifera; Demospongiae; Poecilosclerida; Podospongiidae. The record is from RNAcentral.